Molecule: long non-coding RNA, 1134 nt
Organism: Fundulus heteroclitus (mummichog)
Lineage: Eukaryota; Metazoa; Chordata; Actinopteri; Cyprinodontiformes; Fundulidae
Exons: 3
Source: RefSeq, a predicted model, not a curated record
AGAGAAGCGAAGAAAAAAAAAAAGAAUUGAAAUAAAAUGGGAAGAAGCUAUCCUAGGGGUCCUGAAAAGAAGAGAAAGAAGAAGAAGAAAGUAGAAAGUUGCUCUCAAAGUUGUCCAAAGUUUCUGCAUUCGGUUUCGUCACUGCAGCAGCUGCAGCAGAAAGCCGCAAUCAGCAGCAACGUGGGAGCCUGUUGGGGAGCGUCUGUCGUGAGGUUUUGAACGAAUGAGACAGAGAUGGGCUGUGGCAGAGACAUUUACACAAUUAUCCAGCCAGGCUUUGAUGAUGAUGUUCCACCAGAUUGAGUCCACCACCACCCACUCUACUGGGUCUGCAAGAAGAUACUGAUCUGACCUCUGUAGACCUCAUCCUGAAGAAGAGCCGCAUUUAGACACCAGAGAUUCCCAUUUCUAAUGCUCCGUCCCAUCCCCACCUCCGGAGAGGAGUGAUCACUCCAGGCGUUCUCUCGGAAGAGACAGGACGACACCUCGGAGACAAGAGAAGACGAGAUCAGGCACAAGUCCAGUCUUGAUUGUUUCAGUUUUCUAGCGAAUUGUCUUUUACCUUGUGAAGGGCAGUGGCCUUCGUUCGUUUUCUCUUUUCUGGUGUUUUAAAAAAUUAAGGUCCAGUUGCUGCUUCCUGCCAGCAAGCUCUGCUAUGGGAUCUUGAUGCAGACCUUCUCCUGGGUUAUUUCCUCCUGCAUCACUUCCUGUUAAAGUUCUCUUCUCCCAAUUGGUUACUCACCUUGAUUGCUCCACCAAUCCUGAAAGAGACCUUAUUUAAACUGGCACUUCGUUACAGACGUGGCAGUUGUAUUUUGUUGUGCAGCUGUGUCUCCCUUCUUGUUAUGGCCUUUAAACCAGGUCGUUACAAUUGAGGGCUCGUCUGAGUUUUGUAAAGAUGGAAAGCUUUAGGAUUAGGACAAUUUAAUUGGCAUUUGUUUUUGGUGCAUGCUGAUUGGACGACGAAGUCCAGCUGAGUCAAGGUAACCAGUCAAGGUGCUGUUUGUAUUUGCAAAUGCUGAUCUGUGGUUAUUUUGGGUAUACACCAUGUGUUUUAUUCUGGUAAUUAAAUAUAAAGAGAUUCCCUGUCAGGCUGCAAGACACUUCCUCUUUAGGUUGUGUCUGUUUGUUUUU